Molecule: ribosomal RNA, 468 nt
Filed under: uncultured bacterium
Lineage: Bacteria
Description: partial 16S ribosomal RNA
Rfam family: Bacterial small subunit ribosomal RNA
Source: RNAcentral
GACGAACGCUGGCGGCGUGCUUAACACAUGCAAGUCGAACGGAAAGGCCCUGCUUUUGUGGGGUGCUCGAGUGGCGAACGGGUGAGUAACACGUGAGUAACCUGCCCUUGACUUUGGGAUAUCUUCAGGAAACUGGGGCUAAUACCGGAUAGGAGCUCCUGCUGCAUGGUGGGGGUUGGAAAGUUUCGGCGGUUGGGGAUGGACUCGCGGCUUAUCAGCUUGUUGGUGGGGUAGUGGCUUACCAAGGCUUUGACGGGUAGCCGGCCUGAGAGGGUGACCGGCCACAUUGGGACUGAGAUACGGCCCAGACUCCUACGGGAGGCAGCAGUGGGGAAUAUUGCACAAUGGGCGGAAGCCUGAUGCGGCAGCGCCGCGUGCGGGAUGACGGCCUUCGGGUUGUGAACCGCUUUCGCCUGUGACGAAGCGUGAGUGACGGUAAUGGGUAAAGAAGCACCGGCUAACUACGUG